Molecule: ribosomal RNA, 390 nt
Filed under: Oxalobacteraceae sp. CFBP 8753
Lineage: Bacteria; Pseudomonadati; Pseudomonadota; Betaproteobacteria; Burkholderiales; Oxalobacteraceae
Description: partial 23S ribosomal RNA
Rfam family: Bacterial large subunit ribosomal RNA
Source: RNAcentral
AGGAUGAACGGGUUGCAAUAAAAUGGUGGCUGCGACUGUUUAAUAAAAACACAGCACUCUGCAAACACGAAAGUGGACGUAUAGGGUGUGACGCCUGCCCGGUGCUGGAAGAUUAAAUGAUGGGGUGCAAGCUCUUGAUUGAAGUCCCAGUAAACGGCGGCCGUAACUAUAACGGUCCUAAGGUAGCGAAAUUCCUUGUCGGGUAAGUUCCGACCUGCACGAAUGGCGUAACGAUGGCCACACUGUCUCCUCCCGAGACUCAGCGAAGUUGAAAUGUUUGUGAUGAUGCAAUCUACCCGCGGCUAGACGGAAAGACCCCAUGAACCUUUACUGUAGCUUUGCAUUGGACUUUGAAUCAAUCUGUGUAGGAUAGGUGGGAGGCUUUGAAGC